AAAUCGAAUCUGGGAGACACUGACUUUCAGGGCCGAAGGAGCAACCGCCUCGGAAACUCUCAGGCAAAAGGACCGAAUUCGAAAA
Molecule: non-coding RNA, 85 nt
Organism: Rhizobiales bacterium TMED162
Lineage: Bacteria; Pseudomonadati; Pseudomonadota; Alphaproteobacteria; Hyphomicrobiales
Source: Rfam